UGCCAGCAGCCGCGGUAAUACGUAGGGUGCAAGCGUUGCUCGGAAUCAUUGGGCGUAAAGCGCGUGUAGGUUGUUUUGCAAGUCGGAUGCGAAAGCCCCGGGCUCAACCCGGGAAGAGCAUCCGAAACUACAUUACUAGAGGACAGUAGAGGAAGGUGGAAUUCCAGGUGUAGAGGUGAAAUUCGUAGAUAUCUGGAGGAAUACCGGCGGCGAAGGCGGCCUUCUGGGCUGUUCCUGACACUCAGACGCGAAAGCGUGGGUAGCAAACAGGAUUAGAUA
Molecule: ribosomal RNA, 279 nt
Filed under: uncultured bacterium
Lineage: Bacteria
Description: partial 16S ribosomal RNA
Rfam family: Bacterial small subunit ribosomal RNA
Source: RNAcentral